This 523-nucleotide ribosomal RNA is filed under the name Scheffersomyces stipitis. RNAcentral describes it as "eukaryotic LSU rRNA". It matches the Rfam family "Eukaryotic large subunit ribosomal RNA", at positions 108 to 649 of the family's 3401-position model. The record is from RNAcentral. Lineage: Eukaryota; Fungi; Ascomycota; Pichiomycetes; Serinales; Debaryomycetaceae.
CUCAAAUUUGAAAUCUGGCACCUUCGGUGUCCGAGUUGUAAUUUGAAGAAGGUAACUUUGGAGUCAGCUCUUGUCUAUGUUCCUUGGAACAGGACGUCACAGAGGGUGAGAAUCCCGUGCGAUGAGAUGUCUGAUUCUAUGUAAAGUGCUUUCGAAGAGUCGAGUUGUUUGGGAAUGCAGCUCUAAGUGGGUGGUAAAUUCCAUCUAAAGCUAAAUAUUGGCGAGAGACCGAUAGCGAACAAGUACAGUGAUGGAAAGAUGAAAAGAACUUUGAAAAGAGAGUGAAAAAGUACGUGAAAUUGUUGAAAGGGAAGGGUUUGAGAUCAGACUUGGUAUUUUGUAUGUCUUGCUUUCGGGUGGGGCCUCUACAGUUUACUGGGCCAGCAUCGGUUUGGACGGUAGGAUAAUGACAUUGGAAUGUGGCACCACUUCGGUGGUGUGUUAUAGACUUUGUUGAUACUGCCUGUCUAGACCGAGGACUGCGUCUUUGACUAGGAUGCUGGCAUAAUGAUCUUAAACCGCC